This is a small nuclear RNA of Ochotona princeps (American pika), 107 nucleotides long. The record is from Ensembl. NCBI's taxonomy places the organism in Eukaryota, Metazoa, Chordata, Mammalia, Lagomorpha, Ochotonidae.
GUACUCACUUUGGCAGCACAUAUACUAAAAUUGGAACGAUACUGAGAACAUUAGCAUGGCCCCUGCGCAAGAAUGACAUGCAGAUUCAUGGAGCGUUCCAUACUUAU